This is a long non-coding RNA of Oncorhynchus gorbuscha (pink salmon), 426 nucleotides long. RefSeq lists it as uncharacterized. The transcript is spliced from 3 exons. The record is from RefSeq and is a predicted model, not a curated record. NCBI's taxonomy places the organism in Eukaryota, Metazoa, Chordata, Actinopteri, Salmoniformes, Salmonidae.
GGAACGCGCCCUUUAUUAUGCCAAUUCAAACAUCCGGGCACUUAAUCCAUUCAAGGCUGAUAGAAGAUGGCUUCGACAGUGAGAAUUACGUCAACUGCAAAUACACUAAAUUCUAUAGAAAAUCAAACCAGCGACGAGGAUGGCCAGAAUUUAUGGUCCUCUAUUUUGAGUGAGGUCUCGACGCGUUCACGGUCAAAAUUGCCGUCUGGGAAAAAUGUUCUUAUUAUGGACAGUUGGGGGUUGGAGGCACGUCUCUGGAGCUGCUGAGCCGGAGGAGUGUGUAUGAAAGGUGCUGCUUGGUCAUUCUGACGUCUGCGUUGGCCUUGCAGCAUUUAUGGUGACACAGCCUCUGCAGAAGUCAGGGCAUUCAUACUUCUUGAGCUUCGCCGAGCAGCACAGACCUGUUGUGAAAGAAGUUGUCAAGGA